Molecule: ribosomal RNA, 800 nt
Filed under: Alteromonas sp.
Lineage: Bacteria; Pseudomonadati; Pseudomonadota; Gammaproteobacteria; Alteromonadales; Alteromonadaceae
Description: bacterial SSU rRNA
Rfam family: Bacterial small subunit ribosomal RNA
Source: RNAcentral
GAACGGUAACAUUUCUAGCUUGCUAGAAGAUGACGAGUGGCGGACGGGUGAGUAAUGCUUGGGAACUUGCCUUUGCGAGGGGGAUAACAGUUGGAAACGACUGCUAAUACCGCAUAAUGUCUUCGGACCAAACGGGGCUUCGGCUCCGGCGCAAAGAGAGGCCCAAGUGAGAUUAGCUAGUUGGUAAGGUAACGGCUUACCAAGGCGACGAUCUCUAGCUGUUCUGAGAGGAAGAUCAGCCACACUGGGACUGAGACACGGCCCAGACUCCUACGGGAGGCAGCAGUGGGGAAUAUUGCACAAUGGGGGAAACCCUGAUGCAGCCAUGCCGCGUGUGUGAAGAAGGCCUUCGGGUUGUAAAGCACUUUCAGUUGUGAGGAAAAGUUAGUAGUUAAUACCUGCUAGCCGUGACGUUAACAACAGAAGAAGCACCGGCUAACUCCGUGCCAGCAGCCGCGGUAAUACGGAGGGUGCGAGCGUUAAUCGGAAUUACUGGGCGUAAAGCGCACGCAGGCGGUUUGUUAAGCUAGAUGUGAAAGCCCCGGGCUCAACCUGGGAUGGUCAUUUAGAACUGGCAGACUAGAGUCUUGGAGAGGGGAGUGGAAUUCCAGGUGUAGCGGUGAAAUGCGUAGAUAUCUGGAGGAACAUCAGUGGCGAAGGCGACUCCCUGGCCAAAGACUGACGCUCAUGUGCGAAAGUGUGGGUAGCGAACAGGAUUAGAUACCCUGGUAGUCCACACCGUAAACGCUGUCUACUAGCUGUGUGUGCCUUUAAGGCGUGCGUAGCGAAGCUAACGCGCU